This is a non-coding RNA of Podarcis lilfordi (Lilford's wall lizard), 80 nucleotides long. NCBI's taxonomy places the organism in Eukaryota, Metazoa, Chordata, Lepidosauria, Squamata, Lacertidae. The record is from the annotation of a GenBank genome assembly.
GGCCAUAGCUCAGUGGUAGAACAUCUGCUUUGCAUCCAGAAAGCCCUGGGUUCAAUAUCAGGCAUCUCCAGUUUGGGCCA